GAGGAAGCUUGCUUCCUUGAGACCGGCGCACGGGUGCGUAACGCGUAUGCAAUCUACCUUAUACAGGGGGAUAGCCCAGAGAAAUUUGGAUUAAUACCCCAUAGUAUAAUUGAAUGGCAUCAUUUAAUUAUUAAAGUUCCAACGGUAUAAGAUGAGCAUGCGUCCCAUCAGCUAGUUGGUGUGGUAACGGCACACCAAGGCGACGAUGGUAGGGGUCCUGAGAGGGAGAUCCCCCACACUGGUACUGAGACACGGACCAGACUCCUACGGGAGGCAGCAGUGAGGAAUAUUGGUCAAUGGGCGCAAGCCUGAACCAGCCAUGCCGCGUGCAGGAUGACGGUCCUAUGGAUUGUAAACUGCUUUUGUACAGGAAGAAACACUCCCUCGUGAGGGAGCUUGACGGUACUGUAAGAAUAAGGAUCGGCUAACUCCGUG
Molecule: ribosomal RNA, 435 nt
Filed under: uncultured bacterium
Lineage: Bacteria
Description: bacterial SSU rRNA
Rfam family: Bacterial small subunit ribosomal RNA
Source: RNAcentral